Molecule: ribosomal RNA, 798 nt
Filed under: uncultured bacterium
Lineage: Bacteria
Description: bacterial SSU rRNA
Rfam family: Bacterial small subunit ribosomal RNA
Source: RNAcentral
CGGAAUGCUUUCACAUGCAAGUCGAACGGCAGCACGGACUUCGGUCUGGUGGCGUAGUGGCGAACGGGUGAGUAAUACAUCGGAACGUGCCCAAUCGUGGGGGAUAACGUAGCGAAAGCUACGCUAAUACCGCAUACGAUCUAAGGAUGAAAGCGGGGGAUCGCAAGACCUCGCGCGAAUGGAGCGGCCGAUGGCAGAUUAGGUAGUUGGUAGGGUAAAGGCCUACCAAGCCGACGAUCUGUAGCUGGUCUGAGAGGAUGAUCAGCCACACUGGGACUGAGACACGGCCCAGACUCCUACGGGAGGCAGCAGUGGGGAAUUUUGGACAAUGGACGCAAGUCUGAUCCAGCCAUUCCGCGUGCAGGAUGAAGGCCCUCGGGUUGUAAACUGCUUUUGUACAGAACGAAAAGGCUCUGGUUAAUACCUGGGGCUCAUGACGGUACUGUAAGAAUAAGCACCGGCUAACUACGUGCCAGCAGCCGCGGUAAUACGUAGGGUGCAAGCGUUAAUCGGAAUUACUGGGCGUAAAGCGUGCGCAGGCGGUGAUGUAAGACAGAGGUGAAAUCCCCGGGCUCAACCUGGGAACUGCCUUUGUGACUGCAUCGCUGGAGUACGGCAGAGGGGGAUGGAAUUCCGCGUGUAGCAGUGAAAUGCGUAGAUAUGCGGAGGAACACCGAUGGCGAAGGCAAUCCCCUGGGCCUGUACUGACGCUCAUGCACGAAAGCGGUGGGGGAGCAAACAGGAUUAGAUACCCUGGUAGUCCACGCCCUAAACGAUGUCAACUGGUUGUUGGGUCUC